This 77-nucleotide transfer RNA is filed under the name Bacillota bacterium. RNAcentral's name for it is "tRNA-Ile". It matches the Rfam family "tRNA". Rfam says of the family: Transfer RNA (tRNA) molecules are approximately 80 nucleotides in length. The record is from RNAcentral. Lineage: Bacteria; Bacillati; Bacillota.
UGUCAAGUAAUUCAGUAGGUUAGAAUGUUUGUCUGAUAUGCAAAAUGUCGUAAGUUCGAGUCUUACCUUGACAACCA